Molecule: ribosomal RNA, 301 nt
Filed under: uncultured bacterium
Lineage: Bacteria
Description: partial 16S ribosomal RNA
Rfam family: Bacterial small subunit ribosomal RNA
Source: RNAcentral
CAGUCGCCGCGGUAAUACAGAGGGUGCGAGCGUUAAUCGGAUUUACUGGGCGUAAAGCGUGCGUAGGCGGCUUUUUAAGUCGGAUGUGAAAUCCCUGAGCUUAACUUAGGAAUUGCAUUCGAUACUGGGAAGCUAGAGUAUGGGAGAGGAUGGUAGAAUUCCAGGUGUAGCGGUGAAAUGCGUAGAGAUCUGGAGGAAUACCGAUGGCGAAGGCAGCCAUCUGGCCUAAUACUGACGCUGAGAUACGAAAGCAUGGGGAGCAAACAGGAUUAGAUACCCCGGUAGUCCCUGUCUCUUAUAC